AAAAUCUGCAACUAAAACUGGACAACAAAGAACCGUGCCAUAAAAAUCCAAGGGACAGACACACAAUAAUCAGAGUUCUAUAUGAAGCUGUGGCACAGUAUACUAUGUAUCCCACAAAUUCUGAAUAUGUGCAAGCUGUGAAGACGCUGGUAAUGAAGUAUCCUUUCCUCAAGGAUCGUGAGGGAAAUGGUUAUGGACCAUGCGUCCAAGGAGAGGAUUUAUUAUCCAUAGACGCCCACUUAAAGGUCUUACAGUGCCAAUAUCAGAAGAUGCAACCAGAUACCAUGGUGGUUCAUAACCGUAUGCAGCAAACGUUUGCUUGGCGGCAAAAAGAAAUUGCAGAUGGUAUGCCUGUGGAGGAUGUGUUGAAGAAGUACCCCUUCUUAGGGAUGCCUACUGGUCUGUGCAACGAACUCGGGUGGAUCCAACCAACAACGGGUAAUGUAAGCCAGCGAUUUCGUGAAGGGCUCUCAUGUGUUGCAGCAAAGGUGAUUGACCUUACAUGAGGGAAAACCCCACUUUACCAGCUCUACCUUGAUGCAAGAGAGGAGGCUCUCACUGAUGACCUACCAGAUCUUGACACAAGGGCUGCACUUUUAUUCCUGCCAUACGUCUUCAAGGAGAAACUGGAUCUCUUUGUCAUACUUGGAGAGGUUCAUCCUAAAACCCC
Oreochromis aureus is the source of this 670-nucleotide long non-coding RNA. RefSeq lists it as uncharacterized. The transcript has 6 exons. The record is from RefSeq and is a predicted model, not a curated record. Lineage: Eukaryota; Metazoa; Chordata; Actinopteri; Cichliformes; Cichlidae.